UUUCUUUGUAUACAAAAAGUGUUGUCGCUUGUCACUUUAUAACAUUCUUUCAUACUUUUCUGUACCUUGACAGUGUUCAUUACUUGCCAGUCAAUAGAUCAGCCACAAGCCCCUCCCAGUUCUUUUCUAAAAUAUCUUAAAUUGUGUUCCGAGCAUAAAUAAAGCUUUCACGGGUUUGGAAUGACAUAUAAUUAAUAAGAAAAAAAAAAAUCAUUUUCAGGUAAAGUAUCCCUUUAAAUCAAUAGAGAAUUUGUAAUAAAAAUUAUUGUCUUGUUUUCAGAAAAAAAAAAAAACAAAUAUGGCGUGCAAGCAAAUUAAUCAGGUUUUCUGUGUGUUGGUUUUAGAUAUUUUAACUGAAAACAAGCCAAAGCAUCAAAUUAAGCAACAGAAGGAGCAGACAUCACAAAUAUUUUAUGUCAAAUAUUUAUUCACAUGGUAUAUGUGUGUACAUGUGCCUGAUAGAUUUUGAUAUUUUAACAUAAUUAUGUACGCGAUUAUGUGGCUCACAAGAUGCAUGAAUGUUAGAACUUGCUCAAGAGAUCACCUUGCGAUUGGCUGAAUGUUCUAAGUCAUAGAACAUGGUCGGAAAUAUUGGCGAUAGGUCAAAAAAGUCCUGGAGAGAGGUUACUAACAGUUGCUUUAUUAUGUAGUUCAUUAUGGUUCCAGUUGUGUUUGUUCGUUAUUCACGCAUCAAUAGUAAAAAAAAAAUGGUGUGAUGAACACCUCUGUUCAUCAGUUUGCAUUGGCUACCAAUAAAAUUCAAGGCAUUGAUGUUUGCCUACAAAACCA
Molecule: long non-coding RNA, 789 nt
Organism: Puntigrus tetrazona (Sumatra barb)
Lineage: Eukaryota; Metazoa; Chordata; Actinopteri; Cypriniformes; Cyprinidae
Exons: 2
Source: RefSeq, a predicted model, not a curated record